CUCUCUCUCUCUCUCUCUCUCUCUCUCUCUCUCUCUCUCUUCAGAACUUGGGUUUCUGUCUUCGUCCAAACUCAGGUUCCAAGGGCCUGAGGAUCCACGACAACCCUGCUCUCGAGCACGCCUCCAAGGCCUCCAAUUUCCUCUACCCGGUCUUCUUCAUCGAUCAACACUGCAUGAAUCCCGACCCGAACGCACCCUCGGCCGGAUCCUCCAAGGCCGGCCUGAACCGAAUCUGGCGCUCAUUAGGUUUGAGUUAAUUUUCGAUCCAUGAUAGAUUCCCAAAUGCCCAGGAAGAAAUUUUGGUUUCCAAAUCGGCAAGCUGAGCAUGGCUCUGAUUUUCAGUUCAUCUUCACCACUCUACUUUGCCUCGUUUUGGAAAGUGGUGCUGCUAGGUGGGUAAUUUUAUUAACAAUUGAAGAAUGGCCGAUAGCAUGAAGCAAUUCCAGAAAAUCUUAAUUGAGCAUGAGACUCAAGCUGAGCACCUCUUUCUAGCUAAACACCAGGUUCAGCGAAUAAUUACUAGUUGUAGAGGUUUUGGUUUCCGGUACAUUUGGUUAAACUGGUGAGAUAUUCUUUUAGCAGAUGAUGAAGAAUCACACAGUAAGUCUGCAUAAUUAUUAAAGGGUUCACUGAACUCGUAGUCCAAAAUUAUUAAAGGUUUUGGUCACCCCACCGCUUCACUCCUCUCUGAGUUUAACUCUCUUAAAUUUCCUCUCGGUGCUGCAAGAAAGAGGUACAAACCAAGACCCAUGAGGGCUGAAAGAGGCAAUGAGUUGCAUAAUGGGAAGUUGAUUGUGCAGAAUUGGGGAUUUCGGAGUUGGCCUGAUGGGAUUCAGUCAAUGGCUAUCCCACUAAGUCUGCUGUGGGGUUGCUUUAUCAAUAAUGCGAUCACCUGCCUUCUCUCUCCUCUGAUCUUGUUCACAUCCCCACCCCUGAUACUCACUGCAACAGAAAAGGACGUAUGGCUGGGUUGAAAGCAUGGGUUUGAGGACUUGGUCCUCUUCAUCUGGUUUGAUUAGUAAUAUGCAAGUGAAGUGAACUCUAGUGUAUCAUCAUGGAGGUAAGACCAUAGCACUUUUAAACUUUUACCACAGUUGGGUUCUUUUUGAGCUCAUUAAUGUCAUAGGUGACCAGAAAACGAGAGCAAACUCAGCCUCUUUCAAACAUACAUCUCUUUUCUUCUUUUCGGUUUAAUGGGUGGGUGAUCUUUGUUGUGUACUGUCUUAGUGUCUUACUUGCAUAUUCGCAGGCUGUCAAUUGUAAGAAUAUUGCUAGUUUUCUUAAUGAAUACCUUCAAAUUGUUUCAGUAAAAAGACUUGUACUUCUAAAGCUUGCGUCUUUUUAUCCUCUAUCCUUUGACAUCGAUCAAAGUCUGAGUGGCUGAGUUCUGAAUCAUACCUUAAGUUUCUA
Rosa rugosa (rugosa rose) is the source of this 1410-nucleotide long non-coding RNA. RefSeq lists it as uncharacterized. The transcript has 8 exons. Lineage: Eukaryota; Viridiplantae; Streptophyta; Magnoliopsida; Rosales; Rosaceae. The record is from RefSeq and is a predicted model, not a curated record.